Molecule: ribosomal RNA, 429 nt
Filed under: Chloroflexota bacterium
Lineage: Bacteria; Bacillati; Chloroflexota
Description: Chloroflexi bacterium partial 16S ribosomal RNA
Rfam family: Bacterial small subunit ribosomal RNA
Source: RNAcentral
UGGGGAAUAUUGCACAAUGGGCGCAAGCCUGAUGCAGCCAUGCCGCGUGUGUGAAGAAGGCCUUCGGGUUGUAAAGCACUUUCAGCGGGGAGGAAGACGAUAAGGUUAAUAACCUUGUCGAUUGACGUUACCCGCAGAAGAAGCACCGGCUAACUCCGUGCCAGCAGCCGCGGUAAUACGGAGGGUGCAAGCGUUAAUCGGAAUUACUGGGCGUAAAGCGCACGCAGGCGGUCUGUCAAGUCGGAUGUGAAAUCCCCGGGCUCAACCUGGGAACUGCAUUCGAAACUGGCAGGCUAGAGUCUUGUAGAGGGGGGUAGAAUUCCAGGUGUAGCGGUGAAAUGCGUAGAGAUCUGGAGGAAUACCGGUGGCGAAGGCGGCCCCCUGGACAAAGACUGACGCUCAGGUGCGAAAGCGUGGGGAGCAAACAGG